UAAUAAGUGUUUUACUGGCCACUUUUUAAAUCCAUAUCCACCUUGUGUGCAAUGUCAGUCGAUCUUCUUCAUGGAGAUCGACCAAACAUCAACCUUUAUCUUUUAACUCUUUGUCUGAAAAAUAUUAUGAAUAAACAAUUCAAAAUA
Molecule: unclassified non-coding RNA, 147 nt
Filed under: soil metagenome
Description: partial internal transcribed spacer 1
Source: RNAcentral